RNAcentral lists this ribosomal RNA (465 nucleotides) under Vreelandella stevensii. Its description in RNAcentral is "partial 16S ribosomal RNA". It matches the Rfam family "Bacterial small subunit ribosomal RNA", at positions 338 to 795 of the family's 1533-position model. The record is from RNAcentral. Lineage: Bacteria; Pseudomonadati; Pseudomonadota; Gammaproteobacteria; Oceanospirillales; Halomonadaceae.
CCUACGGGAGGCAGCAGUGGGGAAUAUUGGACAAUGGGGGGAACCCUGAUCCAGCCAUGCCGCGUGUGUGAAGAAGGCCCUCGGGUUGUAAAGCACUUUCAGUGAGGAAGAAUGCCUGGUGGUUAAUACCCAUCAGGAAAGACAUCACUCACAGAAGAAGCACCGGCUAACUCCGUGCCAGCAGCCGCGGUAAUACGGAGGGUGCGAGCGUUAAUCGGAAUUACUGGGCGUAAAGCGCGCGUAGGUGGCUUGAUAAGCCGGUUGUGAAAGCCCCGGGCUCAACCUGGGAACGGCAUCUGGAACUGUCAAGCUAGAGUGCAGGAGAGGAAGGUAGAAUUCCCGGUGUAGCGGUGAAAUGCGUAGAGAUCGGGAGGAAUACCAGUGGCGAAGGCGGCCUUCUGGACUGACACUGACACUGAGGUGCGAAAGCGUGGGUAGCAAACAGGAUUAGAUACCCCGGUAGUC